AUUAUUAUUAAUAAAACUAAUCAAAUUAUGCAAGAUUUCCCAUUGGUGGCUUAUAUGCAUAAAUAAUUAGGAAUCUGUUUUCAAGAAUAGAUAGAUCAUAAGCGAGCAAGCAGUAACCCAUGCAAGGCUAAAAAUUCAUACAUACAUUUCAGCCUGGCAUGCAUAUGUAGCAUUCUUAAGAGAGACAUAAUUUCUAUUAAUUUCAGCACAUAUAUAUAUAAUUUCUCAUUUAAGUUUAACUACCUAUGGCCUAUGGGCUAUGGCAGAUGCAUUUGUAGUGGUAGGCGCUGUUGAUGGGGGACCGGAACUUGCACAGCCCUACACUUGAACUUGCACCCUCUGCAUUCAUUAUAACUGCAAGUUGGGGCUACUGAUCCUAUCAUCAAUCUUCUAGCGUUGCCGCCGUCUAUCCACUCUUUCCUACCAGUACGUACCACCCCCCUGGCCCUAUAUAUAUAUCCAAAAAGAUUAUGUAUAACAACAAACUCCAAAAAUAAGAUUGAGAAUUAAUUGACAACUAGCUAUCUAGCUAGCUCUCACCCUCAACUCUUGUUUUUGUGAUGCAUAAUUAUGAUACACCCUCUGUCUCUGUCUCUGAUGAGAACAAGGCUUUAAUAUUUGAAUUCUUGAUCCUGCAACCCUGCCCAAAAUACUAGAUCCAUCAUAAGAUUAAAAUGCAUAAUUAAUUAAACUUGACAAAUAUAUAUAUUGUUUGUUUCAAGGAUAAGCUGAACAAACUAAAAAAAGAUGAAAACUUUACAUGAAGCUUAAUUAGGACUAGCUAGUGACAUGAUGAUAUAAGUACAUUGUAAAAGCUAAGAAAACUUUAAUGCCAAAAAAGAAGAAGCUAAUAAGAUAGUUUAAUGUAAUUGAUCAAGACUAAUUAAGAAAAAGGAAGGAGCAUCAAACAAGAAGCAAUUAGAAUGAAAAUAUAUAUGGUAUAUAUUUGUCAGAUGUGGAAUUAAUAUUUAAUGAAAGAAAGACCAAUUUAUUGUAAAUAUAUAUGUAUGACCUUGUAUAAUUUGUGGUGCCCAAAUUAAACAGAAGAAUACAAAGAGUAGUAAGUUGGGGUUUUUAGUGUUGGCCAUUCUUGGCCUUUGGUAUUGUGAUAGGUUUGAUAGAAUGGGAGAGGCAAAGAGUAGUGAAGUGUAGGUUGAAUUAAUUAUAUACUCCUUAGACAGACAGACAGACCACGUCCAUUCCAUAUACCUCAUGCUUGCUUGAACUCAUGGGGACUUCGAAUUACCAAACUACCCCCCUUUGUUUUGUUCUUUUUUAAGGGACAUUCAUUUUAUGAAAAUUAAUCAUUUCUGUCCAUGCUCCCAACUCGUCAGAGAGAGGGUCGGAAAAAUAGCAAUUGGAGUUUUAUUUUUAAAAUUUAGAGUUUCCUCCCUGAGAAAGCGAAUCCGAACUCCAACGUACACUUGAUUUGAUAGAUACAUAGUGACGCAGCGGUUGGUGGUUUGAGACCCCACCGUUUAGACCCGGCAAAGAUGGCCCAGGCCAGCGGACUUCAAACCAACUAAGCUACAAAAACUAUUUAUUUUUAAUACAAUCUUUAAUAUAUUUUAACUAUAAUUAAAAAUUAUAAUUAAGAUAUGUAAUUAAUUAAUAAUACUAAUUUAUAAUACUAUUAAAAUUUUAAUUGAUUGAGAUAUGUAGUUAAUAAUUUCAAAGUAUAAAACUAUUAAACUAACAAAUAACAGUUGUAGUAAAUUUGGAAAGUAAAUCAAUCAUUAUCCCUUAAUUAUGCAUUCCCUCUACUUAUUUGGAAAGUAAAUCAAUCAUUAUCCCAAAUCAUGCCUUUAGAAUAAUAUCUAAAAUUAUAAUACUAUUAAAAUUUUAAUUGAUUGAGAUAUGUAGUUAAUNNNNNNNNNNNNNNNNNNNNNNNNNNNNNNNNNNNNNNNNNNNNNNNNNNNNNNNNNNNNNNNNNNNNNNNNNNNNNNNNNNNNNNNNNNNNNNNNNNNNAUAUUAUAGUACGUUCUUUGGCUUUUACUACUACUACUAUACAAAAUGUUGCAGGUGGCAGGCAUCUCUGUCCAGGGGUCCAGCUAGCCCUUUUGGUUUUGGAACAGGAAAAUAAAAUGGAAAACCUCAUUAGCAGCAUAGUGCAUGGAUUAUCUAUCUGCCAAUCGGAUUGAAUCGGAGGAGUGCUUGCUGUUCAAGAUGAAAAUUUAAUUUCUUCUUCCAGCUGCCUAGCUGUUGUACCCGUACUGGCAUUCAUGUUGGACAAUCACUCCAACAACAACAAGAGUUCAAUUGUUGUAACCUUUUCAAUUUCAAUAAUAUUUGAUCAGUUCAACUGUUGUUACCUUUUCAGUACGGCCAGUUUGGUUGGUAGCAAAAGACUCCUAUAUGCCUCCACAUUAACAAUACAAUACCUUCUUCGUACAUGGAUGCUUUAAAAAACCAAGUGGAGAACUAUAGUAAAGUGGACUAAAUUAUACUUGUUCAAAGUUACGUUCCAAUAAUCAAAUGAAUAAAUGUAAGUUAUCAACUAUUAACAUAAAUAAUAACCAUGACUCAAGCCAGUCUGGUAUAUAGGUAUAUAUCUAGCAGUCAAAAGUGUGAUUUUUAAU
RNAcentral lists this long non-coding RNA (2579 nucleotides) under Panax ginseng (ginseng). RNAcentral describes it as "long non-coding RNA (PGIN_LNC013668)". Lineage: Eukaryota; Viridiplantae; Streptophyta; Magnoliopsida; Apiales; Araliaceae. The record is from RNAcentral.